Long non-coding RNA from Pseudoliparis swirei, 878 nucleotides. RefSeq lists it as uncharacterized. The transcript has 2 exons. The record is from RefSeq and is a predicted model, not a curated record. Lineage: Eukaryota; Metazoa; Chordata; Actinopteri; Perciformes; Liparidae.
GCUACCAAAGACCCGGGCUGUGUCUACUACCGCGCACUUGAGCACUGACUUUCAGUGUUCGAAGUGCGCCACUGAAAAAACCAGCAGAAUUCAGUGCACUGAAAGUACCCGGAUGGCGCACUGCAAACGGGCAAAAAAUGUCGUGUAAAACGAUGGACACUACUCGCCCUAAGCGGCCGCCAUCUUGGAGACGUAGCGGAAGAGGAGGAGCCCUUUCGCCAGCUUUUCAUUUUAUUUCAAAAACAAUGGCGGACAGCACAAGCGGUAGACCACGAAGCUACAGACCGUAAAUAGACGUUUCCUGGAGGUGCUGGUCCUCUGCUGCCCUCCCGACAUCUGGCUCCAAUGACCUCUGGCACCUCACAUCCACCUCCAGGGCCUUUAAGAAGAUGGACCGCCAUCGCGUCUUCAGUAUCCCGAAGGACCUCUCCACAACACACCUCGCCUUUGACAGGCAGCAGUUGUAUCUUGGAGGCGGACAGGCUGCCUGAAGGGGGUCAUGAGGCAGAUGGGUUGGGACAGGCAGGGGGAGCCACCAUCCCCAAGGAUACCGUAUCCUGGUGGAGGGGAUGACUGCUCAUAGAAGAUGGGGCUGUUAUUCAGGACCCUGGCAUCAUGCACUGAGCCCGGGUAGCCCACACACACAUCUAUGAAUUUGCACUUAUCACAGAUGGCCUGCAGCUGGAUGGAAUGAAAAAGCUUCCUGUUAAAAUAGCAGGCAGCAUCCUCCGCUGGGGGCUUCACUCUGACGUGGCAGCCAUCAAUAGCCCCCACCACUCUGCUGAAGGCUGCCGACCAGCUAGACGGGCGAAGCGGGCAGGGGAAGGGAAGAUUAUAUUAAUAUGCAAGUCAUUUUAUCAAUAAAAUGUUGUCAUUGA